Molecule: ribosomal RNA, 282 nt
Filed under: Triticum aestivum (bread wheat)
Lineage: Eukaryota; Viridiplantae; Streptophyta; Magnoliopsida; Poales; Poaceae
Description: partial small subunit ribosomal RNA
Source: RNAcentral
AAAAUACCUCUAAGAGUGAAGAUAUUCCUCUGAUUUUUAAGCAGAGGGGUCAUCUUAACUAGAGAUAAUCUGGCACGACGUAACUGGCAAGGUAGUAAGACAUGUGUCUUUUGCCAGCAUGAAGAGUCUAUUAAACACUUAUUUUUUGAGUGUAAAUUUGCUCAUGCAGUAUGGGCCAUAGUUCAAGUAGCUUCAAAUCUAUACCCCCCACAUAGUGCACGUAACAUGUUCGGCUAUUUAUUGCGGGUAUUGAUAAACAAUUUUCUGCACAUAUUCUUGUGA